UACGUAGGGGGCGAGCGUUGUCCGGAUUUAUUGGGCGUAAAGAGCGUGUAGGCGGUUCGGUAAGUCUGUCGUGAAAUCCUGAGGCUCAACCUCGGGCGUGCGAUGGAUACUGCCGGGCUAGAGGAUGGUAGAGGCGAGUGGAAUUCCCGGUGUAGCGGUGAAAUGCGCAGAUAUCAGGAGGAACACCGGUGGCGAAGGCGGAUCUCUGGGCCUUACCUGACGCUGAGGCGCGAAAGCUAGGGGAGCGAACAGG
This 253-nucleotide ribosomal RNA is filed under the name uncultured bacterium. RNAcentral describes it as "partial 16S ribosomal RNA". It matches the Rfam family "Bacterial small subunit ribosomal RNA", at positions 524 to 776 of the family's 1533-position model. The record is from RNAcentral.